Molecule: non-coding RNA, 67 nt
Filed under: marine sediment metagenome
Also listed under: 1 other name
Source: RNAcentral
GACUCUGGAGAGCGCCGCGUUGCAGCCAGCGAAGGGGCAAAGCUCUCAGGCACCAGAACAGAGGGGC